RNAcentral lists this ribosomal RNA (743 nucleotides) under uncultured bacterium. Its description in RNAcentral is "bacterial SSU rRNA". It matches the Rfam family "Bacterial small subunit ribosomal RNA", at positions 94 to 823 of the family's 1533-position model. The record is from RNAcentral.
AGCGGCGGAUGGGUGAGUAACACGUGGGGAACCUGCCCCUAAGUCUGGGAUACCAUUUGGAGACAGGUGCUAAUACCGGAUAAUAAAGCAGAUCGCAUGAUCAGCUUUUGAAAGGCGGCGUAAGCUGUCGCUAAGGGAUGGCCCCGCGGUGCAUUAGCUAGUUGGUAAGGUAACGGCUUACCAAGGCGACGAUGCAUAGCCGAGUUGAGAGACUGAUCGGCCACAUUGGGACUGAGACACGGCCCAAACUCCUACGGGAGGCAGCAGUAGGGAAUCUUCCACAAUGGACGCAAGUCUGAUGGAGCAACGCCGCGUGAGUGAAGAAGGUUUUCGGAUCGUAAAGCUCUGUUGUUGGUGAAGAAGGAUAGAGGUAGUAACUGGCCUUUAUUUGACGGUAAUCAACCAGAAAGUCACGGCUAUCUACGUGCCAGCAGCCGCGGUAAUACGUAGGUGGCAAGCGUUGUCCGGAUUUAUUGGGCGUAAAGCGAGCGCAGGCGGAAAAAUAAGUCUAAUGUGAAAGCCCUCGGCUUAACCGAGGAACUGCAUCGGAAACUGUUUUUCUUGAGUGCAGAAGAGGAGAGUGGAACUCCAUGUGUAGCGGUGGAAUGCGUAGAUAUAUGGAAGAACACCAGUGGCGAAGGCGGCUCUCUGGUCUGCAACUGACGCUGAGGCUCGAAAGCAUGGGUAGCGAACAGGAUUAGAUACCCUGGUAGUCCAUGCCGUAAACGAUGAGUGCUAAGUGU